UACGGAGGAUGCAAGCGUUAUCCGGAUUUAUUGGGUUUAAAGGGUGCGCAGGCGGACCGGUAAGUCAUGGGUGAAAAUUCGCGGCUCAACUGCGGACGUGCCUAUGAUACUGCCGGACUAGGGUUUAAGUGGCGUAGCCGGAAUGUGACGUGUAGCGGUGAAAUGCUUAGAUAUGUCACAGAACGCCGAUCGUGAAGACAGGCUGCGAACUUAAUACAGACGCUCAGGCACGAAAGCGUGGGUAUCAAAC
RNAcentral lists this ribosomal RNA (250 nucleotides) under uncultured prokaryote. Its description in RNAcentral is "partial 16S ribosomal RNA". It matches the Rfam family "Bacterial small subunit ribosomal RNA", at positions 524 to 773 of the family's 1533-position model. The record is from RNAcentral.